AGUGAACGCUGGCGGUAGGCCUAACACAUGCAAGUCGAACGGCAGCACAGUAAGAGCUUGCUCUUACGGGUGGCGAGUGGCGGACGGGUGAGGAAUACAUCGGAAUCUACUUUUUCGUGGGGGAUAACGUAGGGAAACUUACGCUAAUACCGCAUACGACCUACGGGUGAAAGCAGUGGAUCUUCGGACCUUGCGCGAUUGAAUGAGCCGAUGUCGGAUUAGCUAGUUGGCCGGGUAAAGGCCCACCAAGGCGACGAUCCGUAGCUGGUCUGAGAGGAUGAUCAGCCACACUGGAACUUGGACACGGUCCAGACUCCUACGGGAGGCAGCAGUGGGGAAUAUUGGGCAAUGGGCGCAAGCAUGAUCCAGCCAUACCGCGUGGGUGAAGAAGGCCUUCGGGUUGUAAAGCCCUUUUGUUGGGAAAGAAAAGCAGCAGGUUAAUACCCCGCUGUUCUGACGGUACCCAAAGAAUAAGCACCGGCUAACUUCGUG
Molecule: ribosomal RNA, 492 nt
Filed under: uncultured bacterium
Lineage: Bacteria
Description: partial 16S ribosomal RNA
Rfam family: Bacterial small subunit ribosomal RNA
Source: RNAcentral